GAUGAACGCUGGCGGCGUGCCUAAUACAUGCAAGUCGAGCGAACAGACGAGGAGCUUGCUCCUCUGACGUUAGCGGCGGACGGGUGAGUAACACGUGGAUAACCUACCUAUAAGACUGGGAUAACUUCGGGAAACCGGAGCUAAUACCGGAUAAUAUAUUGAACCGCAUGGUUCAAUAGUGAAAGACGGUUUUGCUGUCACUUAUAGAUGGAUCCGCUCCGCAUUAGCUAGUUGGUAAGGUAACGGCUUACCAAGGCAACGAUGCGUAGCCGACCUGAGAGGGUGAUCGGCCACAAUGGAACUGAGACACGGUCCAGACUCCUACGGGAGGCAGCAGUAGGGAAUCUUCCGCAAUGGGCGAAAGCCUGAAGGAGCAACGCCGCGUGAGUGAUGAAGGUCUUCGGAUCGUAAAACUCUGUUAUUAGGGAAGAACAAAUGUGUAAGUAACUAUGCACGUCUUGACGGUACCUAAUCAGAAAGCCACGGCUAACUACGUG
Molecule: ribosomal RNA, 497 nt
Filed under: uncultured bacterium
Lineage: Bacteria
Description: partial 16S ribosomal RNA
Rfam family: Bacterial small subunit ribosomal RNA
Source: RNAcentral